CAGCCGCCACGGGAAUACGGAGGGAGCUAGCGUUGUUCGGGAUUACUGGGCGUAAAGCGCGCGUAGGCGGUUACUCAAGUCAGAGGUGAAAGCCCGGGGCUCAACCCCGGAACUGCCUUUGAAACUAGGUGACUAGAAUCUUGGAGAGGUCAGUGGAAUUCCGAGUGUAGAGGUGAAAUUCGUAGAUAUUCGGAAGAACACCAGUGGCGAAGGCGACUGACUGGACAAGUAUUGACGCUGAGGUGCGAAAGCGUGGGGAGCAAACAGGAUUAGAUACCCGAGUAGUCCCUGUCUCUUAUAC
RNAcentral lists this ribosomal RNA (301 nucleotides) under uncultured bacterium. Its description in RNAcentral is "partial 16S ribosomal RNA". It matches the Rfam family "Bacterial small subunit ribosomal RNA", at positions 509 to 807 of the family's 1533-position model. The record is from RNAcentral.